RNAcentral lists this ribosomal RNA (497 nucleotides) under uncultured bacterium. Its description in RNAcentral is "partial 16S ribosomal RNA". It matches the Rfam family "Bacterial small subunit ribosomal RNA", at positions 29 to 507 of the family's 1533-position model. The record is from RNAcentral.
AAUGAACGCUGGCGGCGUGCCUAAUACAUGCAAGUCGAGCGAACAGAUGAGGAGCUUGCUCCUCUGACGUUAGCGGCGGACGGGUGAGUAACACGUGGAUAACCUACCUAUAAGACUGGGAUAACUUCGGGAAACCGGAGCUAAUACCGGAUAAUAUAUUGAACCGCAUGGUUCAAUAGUGAAAGACGGUUUUGCUGUCACUUAUAGAUGGAUCCGCGCCGCAUUAGCUAGUUGGUAAGGUAACGGCUUACCAAGGCAACGAUGCGUAGCCGACCUGAGAGGGUGAUCGGCCACACUGGAACUGAGACACGGUCCAGACUCCUACGGGAGGCAGCAGUAGGGAAUCUUCCGCAAUGGGCGAAAGCCUGACGGAGCAACGCCGCGUGAGUGAUGAAGGUCUUCGGAUCGUAAAACUCUGUUAUUAGGGAAGAACAAAUGUGUAAGUAACUAUGCACGUCUUGACGGUACCUAAUCAGAAAGCCACGGCUAACUACGUG